GGUCAGCCACGAGUAUUUCAGUUAUUAUAAAUGUAUUUACAUGAAUAUUUGGAAACUGAUUUUAGUCUUAUACGGAAGUGAUUAUGAAGUUUGAAUUUAUAUUAUAUUUUCUCUUUUUCUGUAAAUUGUAUAUGGAAAAAACACAUACACCAUUUUAUAAAAUUUGGGAAAUUUUCUUUUUGGGGGCGGGAUGUUAUGUAUCUGUAUUGUAUGGUCGUAUGUGUUUUGUAGUUAAGUCGUGAGAGUUGCGUCCCAUUGUAUGAUAAUGAUGCAUAUUUGUCAUGUGAUGUUAUCUGUCUCUUUGAAAUAAACGUGCUAUGGAAAUAGAUGUGUUUUUAUUGCUCUUUAGCAAAUGUAACUUUAGCGGCAUGGGGAGGCAAGUAUAUGUCCCCCCAUGUACGUAAUAGGCGUACGCCC
This 417-nucleotide long non-coding RNA is filed under the name Mytilus galloprovincialis (Mediterranean mussel). The record is from RNAcentral. Lineage: Eukaryota; Metazoa; Mollusca; Bivalvia; Mytilida; Mytilidae.